UUGACUGAGAUGAGUUCAAAAUGCAUAAAAAACUAGCCAGCAAAUCGCAUGGAAUCCCCCAAAAAAUCAAUUAAAAAAGACGUAACGGUUGAGACCGCGGAUAAUUUAUUCUGUGGAAGACGUGACUGUCCAUCCAGAUUGAGACAUUUCUCUCAAAAGUCUUCCACGUUUGUAUAACAGUUCACGGUGAACCGCAAAUAUGGCCAAAAAGUUUCACUGUUUCGUCUUUUCAAUUCAAGAUUAGAAAGGAUUCCCUUCAUCCUUUCUGCAGUAUCCAAGGCUGUUGUUUGUCCCAUGUUUUAUUUUCCCCCGACAUGAAUGCCUUUUGUUCGCCCACACGUAGGUACAACCUUGGAUGGAAACUGUUCCAAAUUGCCUGUAAAUUGAGGGUUUGAGUGUAAACUCACCUAUCUGAAGCCUGCGAGCCUCUGCGAGGUGAAUUCUAUCUGAAAUGAAGAAAAAGCAUCUGUAGGAAAGAGUUAGGAAAAAUAAUCCCAAGUCUUUCAGCAAACGCUGAUAAAUGAUGAGCAGGAACAUGAAGUCCACGCCGUUAGUGGUCCGUCUUUAUCCGUCAUUGAGCUGAAACUUGAGGGAUGUUUGCAUUAUUUAGGGGGCGCGGGGCUGCACCCUCUCAGUUGAUUUGUCGACUGAUUGUUUUGCUCGUUUUUUGUUCAAUUGCAAUUCUUUAUGCUUUUUCUAAUACUGAAUGUAUUAUUUUAGGAAACCCAUAAAUAUCUCUCGUAAAAUCAAGAUUUUUAGUGAUGCUUUUGUGCGAUUUCUUUCUUAUUUUGUCUUGUGAAGAAAUUGAGUUGCAGGAACUGUUGAUUAGAUCAUUGAUUAGCUGUCAAAUUCGUAUGAGUGUUGUGUUGUUGUGGUCCGGCCCAAGUUCGGCUCCCGUAGUCAAGUUGUAUCGAGACACUUGAGAAAAUAACUACAAAAUAGUGCUGUGAAGAAUAAUUGGGUGGAGAAUCGAGAGAGUGAGUGACACACACGCGAACCCCCUAACACACACACACACACACAGACACACACACACACACACACACACACAACUUAAAUCAUCAUUGGAAAAUCAUUAGAAAUCUGGCCGCGCUGAGGGGCACAGAUUGAGGGACAAACCCCAUUCAAGUACACACAAAGACAGGCGUGCACACACACACUAACACACUCACAGAGAGGCAGCCGGGUGGAAGGGAACAUGGGCGGUUCCAUCCACACACACACACACACACACACACACACACACACACACACACACAAGAACAGCUCGAACCUCACAAACAACCCUCCAUACAAACCCGUCCGCCCACCUCCGUCGACAUUUAUUGCGCCUUCUGUGUGAAUGUAUUUCAGUUUUAUUCACAUGUCAGCCAUUGUGUGUGUGUGUGUGUGUGUGUGUGUGUGGGCGAGUGUGUGUGUGUGUGUGUGUGUGUGUGUGUGUGUGUGUGUGUGUGUGUGUGUGUGUGUGUGUGCGUGUGUGUGUGUGUGUCUCAUGUGUUUGGGGACCUACACCGUCAGGCCUGAGCAUGUGAUUUAUUUCAGAAUACUAAUGUCUCUUUGAUGUCCUCUGUUUAAAAGGAGGAUCGGGGGCACGAACGCGCACAAACGCGCACGAAUGCAUGAAGGUCUCUGCAUACAAGGGAGCACACGGCCGCACACCUGCAGCACACACGCCUACAUUAAUGUUGUUGUGUCCCCUUGACUGACUGCUGAGCAGGAUUCAUUUAUGCACACACACACACACACACACACACUCACACACACUUCGGGGCGUCUAAUCUACUUUAACUAUCUUCAAAUCCACAGAGAUCCAAUUACAAAGAUAGAGGGAUAUUUGUUUUCUCUGCGCAUCCUAAAAGACUAAUUAAAUUUUCAUGUAAAGAUGAAAUUAUUUGAUACAACACAAACGUCUUUUCAUUUUCAUAAUCGUAAUGUAAUAUAUCUUAAUUGGGGAUCCUGUUUCUGUCUACCUCAGCUGUCUUUCCAGGCCUAUUAUCCUGCACAGCCAUUAAAUCCACAUGCACACAUUCACACACACUUACCUUGCUUCCUUGUAUCAUUUCACCAUAAUUUGAACGCAGGGUCGUGUGUACUACAAGGUAUCCCAGAAUGCACCAGGCAGAAAGCCUGGCACACUCUUGGCAUUCUUUCAAUCAGCUUUGUUUACCACAUAAUUCCAUACGUGUUGUGUCUUCAAUACUAAUAUUCUAUAUAUUCUAAAUUAAAAAGAAAAAACCUUGAAUGAGAAUGUGUUCAAACCUUUGUCUGGUGCUGUACAUGAUACUGCAGGUUUCACUGAACAGGAUGACCAGUCCACAGCCGUGCAGCCUCUGCUAGGCCUUACAAAGCAAGGGGCAGCAGGGCAGAGUCAGGGGACGUCAAAGCCCUUAAAGUGCAUCCUUUGGGGAUUAUGUCUGUGCACGAAAUUUACUUGUAUGUCUUUUAACGCGAGUUUGGAAGUUCGAUUACCGGCUCGUCCGCAUGGUGAAGUGUCCUUGAACGAGACACUGGAGCCCGAGCGGCUCCCUUGCAACUUUACAGCUGCCCACUGCUCUUUUGGAGGGUUAAAAUAAGAGGUAUAUUUGUGUGGUAUGCCAAUAUUUAUAUAUUGCCACGGUUUGGGUUCUUUUCCUGUUUUAUUUUGUAGUUUCUUGCCUCUUGUGUCCCUGGGUAACUUCACUUCCUGCCUUGUCCUGUCGUCCCCUGUGAUUGUCUGCUGUGUCUGAUCGUUUCCACCCGUGUCCAAUCACCUGCACCCCCAGUGCAUCUAAGCCGUGUGUGUCUGUUGUCAUUGGUCGCCUCAUUGUUAAUCGUCAGAGCGUUUCUGGUCCAUGUCUGUGUUUCUGCCCCUCGGCCUUUUUUGCUUUUGAACAUUUGGACUAUUAAAGUCUUCUUUUGUUUCUCGAAGUCUGCGUUUUGAGUCCUGCGUUCCCCGGAACCCCGUGACACACAUGACACAUUUGCCAUUUUGGUUUUGGCAUCUUGCUGCAGAGCGACACUUAAAACUAAUCAGCUUGUAAGAAAGCGCUCUUCCCUCCUACUGCCGGCCUUGUUAACGCUGUUGUGUGUUCACUUUUGUACAUCACGUUUUGAAAGUUAGUGACCUCACGGUGGAUUUUCAGGCAAACUGAGUUGUCUCCUCUGAUUUCAGCCCCUCGUUUGUGACAUUUCCCUCAGUGAGCUUGGAUGAACCCCGGCUGCUAUAUUCAUUUACAGUACAAUCUGUACAAUUGGUUGCUUGUCAAACUGUGUGUGUCUUCUUUGAUUCACUGCAAUCCAAUACGAAUAGGCCGCUCUGGAAAGAAGCUGAAGUCCUUCUUUAGAUUGUGUGUAAGAGCUGGAUGCGGUUUAUGUCCUCUAUGGUUUCCAAUAGGCGACAUUUAGAUUGGAUUGUGGAAUAGUGAGUCUGUUAUAUUUGUGCAACUGUAAAUGUGGAAUAGUAAUUAGCAGUUGUUGUGUAUCGGUCCAGCCGGCUCUGGAAAUCCUCUUUAAACUGCAUUCAAGCUUUUUAAUGUAAUGGUGCUCCGCUGCUUCCUCAUGUUUCCACCAGAG
Gasterosteus aculeatus aculeatus (three-spined stickleback) is the source of this 3552-nucleotide long non-coding RNA. The record is from Ensembl. NCBI's taxonomy places the organism in Eukaryota, Metazoa, Chordata, Actinopteri, Perciformes, Gasterosteidae.